UCCCUGAUAGCUCAGUUGGUAAAGAAUCUGCCUGCAAUGCAGGAGACCUAGGUUCAAUCCCUGGGUUGGGAA
RNAcentral lists this transfer RNA (72 nucleotides) under Bos indicus (zebu cattle). It matches the Rfam family "tRNA". From Rfam's summary of the family: Transfer RNA (tRNA) molecules are approximately 80 nucleotides in length. RNAcentral also lists the same sequence under 1 other name. Lineage: Eukaryota; Metazoa; Chordata; Mammalia; Artiodactyla; Bovidae. The record is from Rfam by way of RNAcentral.